This is a long non-coding RNA of Ostrinia furnacalis (Asian corn borer), 1154 nucleotides long. RefSeq lists it as uncharacterized. Lineage: Eukaryota; Metazoa; Arthropoda; Insecta; Lepidoptera; Crambidae. The transcript has 8 exons. The record is from RefSeq and is a predicted model, not a curated record.
AUUUCUGUUCUGUCACCCAACCAUCUAUUUUACAGCCAAAAUUCACAGUAAAUAAAAUCAAAAAACAAUAAAAAUAAACCGAAAGAAUUGCAGGCAAGAAAAAAGAAGAAUGGCUAUUAAGUUAGAAUAGUUCCGUCGGAGAACACAAACAUCUGGAAGUCGUAUCAUGAGGUGGGCCCGCUUGACGCUGGUAAUCUUCUUCAUUGCGCUGUGUCUCCUACAACUGGCCUCCGGUUGUGGCAACAAACGCGUUACUUGCGGUGAGAACCCACCGUGCAAGAAGUAAAUCUGAUUGGUUCCUCAGGCGAUGGACACUGAGCUCCUCCAAGAAGUCGUGGUGCUGGUGGUGACGCUGCUGCUGUCGUACCUAGAGUCGUGCUUCGGCUGCACGCGCCACGAGUACGUGACCUGCCACGAGAACAGCCCCAACUGUGACAAGAAGUGAUCUGUUUUUAAGAUGCUGUACCUGAACGAGUUUGUGUUGCUCCUCCUCCACAUCGCAGUAUCAGUGAUGGACCUCAAGCACUUUGGCGAAAGGAAGCAGUUGACCAAAAGUUGUGACAAGAGCAAGAAGAGAACUAACCGCCUGGCCAACGCGAUUUAUAUUAAGAAAUAGAAGCACCUGCAACCUCAUGUUAUUCCCAGUCGUAUAAUCGUAAACGUAUCACCAUGCUCGUGGAGAAAGUGCUGAUAGUUCUGCUGCAAGUGUGCUUCUGGCUGGUGGAGGUGGCGGGCUGCCGGCGCAAGAGCCGUAUUCCCGAGUACUGCCUGCCCUGCACGUAUAAAGGACCGUACAUCGAAGUUGUGUCGCCUAAACCGAAAAAACACCAGAACACGUUCUACAGAACCCAACAAUGAUGCUUCAAGUUCUCCUGCUGUGCUGCGCGUGGAUCGCUCGAGUCGCCGGCUGCAAGCGACUGAGGCAGAGCCGCUGUCCCGACACCUGCCUGCCUUGCAACUAUAAGGGGCCUAUCAUUGAAGUGAUUUAUCCGAAACCUUCAGAAUGAGAUGGAAGCCCGAACCCAGUCCUGGUGUACACCAAGCCGCCUCCUGCGCCAGAGUGCUGACGUCAUGCGACGUACGCCGCUUACUGCGCGAGCGCAUCACACGUGUAGUGAACUUGAGAACCAUGUUUGUUUUUAAUAGUCAAUGAA